AUACCUUUCUCGGCCUUUUGGCUAAGAUCAAGUGUAGUAUCUGUUCUUAUCAGUUUAAUAUCUGAUACGUGGGCCAUCGGCCCACAUGAUAUUAAAUUUAUUUUUCUAGGGGAAGGGUCCAUCACAAUAGCUUGCUAUUGGGGCCUUUGAGCGUCGCCUUUGCGUUACACUACAGCUUGGGCUUGGCGCACCCCUC
This 196-nucleotide small nuclear RNA is filed under the name Cucumis sativus (cucumber). Its description in RNAcentral is "snRNA U2". It matches the Rfam family "U2 spliceosomal RNA". Rfam says of the family: U2 is a small nuclear RNA (snRNA) component of the spliceosome (involved in pre-mRNA splicing). Complementary binding between U2 snRNA (in an area lying towards the 5' end but 3' to hairpin I) and the branchpoint sequence (BPS) of the intron results the bulging out of an unpaired adenosine, on the BPS, which initiates a nucleophilic attack at the intronic 5' splice site, thus starting the first of two transesterification reactions that mediate splicing. The record is from Rfam by way of RNAcentral. Lineage: Eukaryota; Viridiplantae; Streptophyta; Magnoliopsida; Cucurbitales; Cucurbitaceae.